Bos taurus (domestic cattle) is the source of this 5609-nucleotide long non-coding RNA. Lineage: Eukaryota; Metazoa; Chordata; Mammalia; Artiodactyla; Bovidae. The record is from Ensembl.
GUCUCAACAGUAAGCGGUUUUCCCCAAGUUUUCCAGGCCUUCGCGGUCUCAGCUGCCUAGUUUGGGCUGAGACGAUUGAGCCUGGAUAGGACCACUGACCCCUCAGCUGGGUCUGCACAGGCCUGGGGACCUUGUGAUGUUUGGAGGCCUGGAGCCUAGUUGUACCUGUGCACAGGAACCACUGGGCACCUUUCUAAAUCGGGAUUCCCGGCCUCCCCUGGCUGCCUGCGCACCGCACCCCCGGUUCCCCACGCCCCCUCGUUUCCCAUGCCCUGUGGAAUCGCAUCCACAUCUCUCACGCCCUCUGUUCCCUGCGUCCACGCCCCACACGCCCACGCCCCCACGCCCUGCGCUCCCACGCCCUGCGCUCCCACGUCCACGCCCCCCACGCUCUACAACCUUACGUUCACGCCCCCCACGCCCUGCGCUCCCACGUCCACGCCCCCCAGGGCCACACCCCCAUGCUCUGCGACCUCGGGUCUAGCCCCACUCCCACCAGUGUUCCCACAUCCACGCUCCCCACGCCCUGAGUCCCCAAGUCCACGCAGCCCGGGUCAGCUGUUCGCUGCUUCUUUCCUGUCAGUCCUUGGGCUUCGCUGAGGCGUUUUGGAAGCUUGCUGAGCCCUCUCGUCUCGCUGGUUUUUCUUCAUCAAGAAGGGUGAAAAAGGGUGGUGUCAUCUGCAUAUGUGAGAUUGUUGAUAUUUCUCCUGGCAGUCUUGAUUCCAGCUUGUGCUUCAUACAGUCCAGCAUUUCUCAUGAUGUGCUCUGCAUAUAAGGGGCACAGUCUAGCACCUCCGCUGUGACGGUUAUAUUAUACUGCAAACCAGCAGCAGCAGGUGAGAGGACAAGGACCCCAAAGGAUCCUUCAGGUCCCCAGUGGCCACAGCUGACCUGCCCCACAGACCUGCUGCUGCUCCCGCUGGCCCACCUGACCGAGGCGCACCUCUGUGCAUUCACUGCUUCCACUGAGUGUGUCCCUUCUGACCGGGGAAAACGAUCUGGAUACUGUUUAAAAGUUCCUUCAGAUGUGUUUUUCAUCCAUUCGCUGUGGAAGGGAUAUUAUGAAUAUUCAGGGAAAAGAUAGCCUGUGACCCCAACUGUCGAACUGUUUCAACACAGCGAGCAGCAAAGUGAACACGACCUACAUUGAAGCCUCCCAGGGGGAUCUGAAGUUGACAGGAAAUGUUCUCCAGUGUGACUCUGGAGAUUUGGGAAAGAAGUUGGAUCAAGGGUUGUUCAGACUGAGGUUUGGACUUGGGAAAGAAGUUGGAUCAAGAGUUGUUCAGACUGAGUCCCAGUGGACAGAAGUCCACCUGCCAUGUAUAGUCUGAUUGGGAAAGACCAUAGAGGAGGAAGUGGAAGUCACGCUUCUGGAGGAUCAACCAGGACCUGGUGUUCUGUGAGGUGCUGAAAUUUAACUGCCAUAAAAAUCUCCUGAAUCUUAUCUCUACUGACAGUUUUUAGAAGUGGGUUUCAGAGUUUUAUUUGUUAAACUGGAUGCCAGGAACAUAGAGCUGCUGACUCGGGACAGCAGCCCGGAGUCAACUCGUUAGAUGGUCCUCCUUGUCCGUGGGUCCUUCUCGUCCUCGGGUCCUCCCCAUUCACGGGUCUUUCUUGUCUGUGGGUUCCCUUCCAUCCUGUGCGAUUAGCCAGUGGCCACUCUUCUGUGAUGUUAGAGGGUUGCUUCUGUGAUGGGAGGAAGUGGGAAUUAAUUGCCAGAGUCCCUGAAAUGAACAGUGUGACUUUCCCUUUAACCGGUCUCUCUGCACAGAAGACAUUUGGGUUCAUUGUUGUUAUUAUUUAAUAUCUGUUCAUUUGUUUACUUAUGUAUUUGGUUCCUUCUCUGGGUAGGAAACUAGCCAUGCUGCAAACACAUCCCCCCGCCACCCCACACAUACACCCUGACCCCCUGGACAAAGGCAUUCAGCAAUCAUUCCAAGGACCUUUGUCCUCCAUGCCAUUCAUUUCAUUUUAAUAAGUGCAAUUGAUCUGUAUAAGUAACUGUAUUUGGGGCUAUUGUUAUGGUGUACCUUUUUUUUUAUAUUGAUUUAGAAAUAUUUAUGUUUUAAAUUUUGUAAGAAUUUUGUAUGAACUCUCCACAUGUAUUUUUUUUGCUCUCUUUUAUUUAUUUUUUUAACAGAAACAUACAACAUGUUUAAUCAGUUAUACUCCAAUAAAAAAUAUUUUAAAGGUCGUCCACAUGUAUUUUGAACAUAGCUGUAUUUAUCAAGACUUUUUUUUAGUGAUUCAAUAUUUUUAUAGAUUAUUCUCCACUUAAAAUUAUUGUAAAAUAUUUGGUAUAUUCCCUGUGCUAAGCAGUAUAUCCAUGUAGCUUGUUUAUUUUAUACACAGUAGUUUAAUCCUCUAGGUUAAGUCUCUUUUUCUUUCUUAUACUCCAUACCCCUGUCCUCAGAAUGAGUAAAAACUGAAUAAAAACGCUGGACUUAAAGAAUUAAUAUAACUGAAUGUAUGUUACUUUUGUUCCUUCUGUGGGAUAAAAAUGUUGAAUUAAGUGAAGUAAACAAUACUUACUUGAGACAGAUGAGGCCUUCAGUAAGAGGUGAUUUUUAGGAAAAAAGGACUGCAGCUAAAUAUUAAAAAUAAAAUUAAUCUCUGUUAUUGAAAACACUAUCCAUUCUGUAUCAUAUUCCACAUAAAUGGGCUGAGUGCCUGCCUUCCUAACUCCUAAGCAUUCCUAUGAUGUAAGAAUAACACAGUGAUUCUUUCCUAGGAGUUUACAAGAAGGAGGCCCACUUAUUUCUGAAAGCUUUUCAGAUUAAAGAGCCAGUGGAUAUUUUCAUCAGCAAUUUUGAGAAUGACAACUGGGGACUGGAUGGUUAUGUGAGUACUUCCUGGAGGGCCAUCUAAUCAUCAUGUCUGCGUAGAGGUGGGGGCACCAAUGGGUGUUCCUUCCAAGACAACCUGGGCCCUGUCUGCACCAUGAAAACUCAGGGCCCUCAUCCUGGCCUGACAGCCAUGUCACCCCUUCAUCAUCUGAUGGAAGAAAGCUGUCCCUGAGAUGAGAAUGAAACUGACCAGGAGAGACAGGCCAUCCCUGCCGGACACACAAGAGCCUCGAUGCAGACCACGCCCCACUGUCAGAGUGGGACUCUACCCAGGCCUCAGCAACCACCCUGCAUGGGCUGAGAAAGGGAGAUUCCAGAGGCACCUUCACAGUCUCCUUUGCAAGUUAACCCUUUGCUUCUGCACUAAUUCAUCAUAGAACUUGAACAUAAAGGGUCUUGCAUGAUAUGCAUGAGACAGUAGCUGUGACACAGUGAGUUGUACAUAAUAUAGGCUCUGAGGUAAUUCAUACAUGUGUCCCCAUUUACAAAGGACACUCAACCUAUAAAUAAGGUGUCAAAUUUACUACUACUGUUUUUGAGAUCAAAAUGAGAGUUUGUUAAUUGAAGUUCAUGUCUAUAUUUUUCAAUUUUAACUAUAAAUGUGAAACUCAAAGGAAUGACAAAUUUUUAAGAGAACCAUUAAUGUCUAAAUAAGAGAAAUAAUAUGAUAAAAGGAGAGGUUAUGAUUAAUCCUUGUUGAUUUCUUCCCUUUCAUGUGUAUCAGGUAUCAUCCAGACUUGAAAGGGAAGGGUUUACUUUUCAAGGUGACAUACACAGAAAAGACUGGGAAAUAUAAGCUGGAAAGGCAAGGUAUGCUGCACUUACGUGAUUUUUCAAAGCAAGUAUCAGAUUGGUCUGCAGAUGACUGAGCUGAGUGUGAUAGAAAAGACGUGAUUUAAAAGAAACAGAAACAAAAAUAAUGGGAAAGACUCAUGUAUUUGGAAAAAAGUCCCCUUCACUGGCAGCAAAAUAGAAAAUAUCAGCUGGUAUAAAUGCAAUAAAUAUGCAAGACACAGAAUAUCCUUAAUUUACAAAGAGAUAUUUUUGAAAAACAGGAAAAAAGGCAAAGUGGAAAUGCAAAAGAAUAAACAAACUACGUUACCCCAAGAAUAUCAUUAAAUAUAAAAUGGCCAACAAACUAUGAAAAGAUCUUAACUUGAAAAAUAUGUAUUAUGACAAUAAAGGUAGAUCAUUUUCAGCUAUGAGAAUGUUGAAGUUUCUUAACAAUGAUUUGGGGUGGUCUAGAAAAAGGCACCUGAAUGUUCAUUUUUGGUGAGUGUGUGAAAUGUAUACAAUUUGACAGUAUUCUUUUAUCAACGAUUCUACCUCUAAAAUUUUAAUCGACAAAUGUGAUCAUUUUUUUUUGCAUAUUCAGGUAUGUGUAUAGUAGGAUUAUUUUUAAUACAUGAAAUCAGAAAUAACCUGGGUAUCUCACACAUCUAUCUUAAAUGAAUUGCUUCUUACAUCAAUCUUAUACAAUGUGUUACAUUAAAUAGAAGACAGCUUAGUAUAUGUCACUAGAGAACAAAGAUUACAUAAUGAUGUAGAAAGAUGUUCAUGACAUACAUGAGAACGAAGUUUGUUUUAGACAGAAGAGACAAAUGUGCCUGCCUUCUUUAUGUCUAUCUCAAGUACUAACUAGACAUGAAAAAUGUUUGGAAAAAACAGUAGAUGUGAAGCUUACCUUAUCUACUUGCUAGUUUUGUGAUCCAGGAGGAAUUACAACAUUCUUGAGCCUAUUUCUUCGUCUGAAAUCUCAGUAAAGAGUCAGUUCCCUAUUGCUGUCAAGAUUGAGAGUCAGUAUGAGGGUUUGCUUUGUGCUAAAGCUCUUCUCACACACAUCUUCACUCAUGUUGCUACUAACACAGAUGAGAAGCAGCAUCUCUCACGGAGAUGAGAUGAUGAGCACUACGUUUCUCCUGAAUAGUAUCAGCUACUUUCUACUUUACUUACAGAGUGCUACUAACAUAUUAAUUGUACACAGAAGAGUACUUCAAUGUAGGAUUUGACACUGAGCAGCCUUUCAGAGGAAAGUAUAGUACUUGGCAAUGGAUGUCCCUGAUGUACUCAUGUCAUAAAACCUUUAUCAAUAUCCUGAGGGAAAUAUAUACUAACUGUGUAAUAUCACACUUGAAAAACAAAAAACUUGACCAAAAGGGAUAAUUAAUCAUAAAAUACUCUAAAUUCGCCUUUCCAAACUAAGACCUUUUACAUAGAAAAGCUUUAAAUUACAGUCAGCCAUCAAUGAGAUGGUGCUUUCAGUGGGGUUCUAUUAUUUUGAGAUAAUGAAAAUAGGCUAACACUAAUGAUAGUGAAGUUUUCUCUUGCUCUGAGCCAAAUCCUGUGGUUAUCUGCCCUCCUCUCUCCAAGACACACUCUCUAGUAAUUUGCGUCUACGAACACCCCAGCAAGCCAUGCACUAUACUCUGUGGAUGUCGGAGUUUACUGGUCCAGUCAGCCUGACGGGAACCAUCACUUUGCUAUUUUUUUUGCACCGCCCCAUUUCUUUUUAAUCUAACAAAACAGCAGCUUGCUUUAACAAGUAAUCUUUCUUCUCAUGUGAUGAUGAGCUUAUUGUCAGAAAAAACAAUUUCCCUCACAAAAUAAUUUGAAUCACAAGCAAGCCCCCCAUUCAACUAAUGAGAAAAGUCUGUGUGUAAGUAAUGCUUCAACAGGAGCCAUUCAUUUCAGAGUUAUGGCCACACUCUGUUUUUAUGGAUAAAAAUAAACCACCUCUUAAUUGUCUCCAGUCAGUAGAUAAAC